AACGAACGCUGGCGGCAUGCCUAACACAUGCAAGUCGAACGGGAUCCUGGCUUCGGUCAGGUGAGAGUGGCGGACGGGUGAGUAACGCGUGGGAACCUGCCCAGUGGUGGGGGAUAACUGCGGGAAACUGCAGCUAAUACCACAUGAGCCCGAGAGGGGAAAGAUUUAUCGCCAUUGGAGGGGCCCGCGUUCGAUUAGGUAGUUGGUGAGGUAACGGCUCACCAAGCCGACGAUCGAUAGCUGGUCUGAGAGGAUGAUCAGCCACACUGGGACUGAGAUACGGCCCAGACUCCUACGGGAGGCAGCAGUGGGGAAUAUUGGACAAUGGGGGGCAACCCUGAUCCAGCAAUGCCGCGUGAGUGAUGAAGGCCUUGGUUGUAAAGCUCUUUUGGUCGGGGACGGAUGGAUGACGGUACCGCAGAAUAAGCCCGGCUAACUUCGUGCCAGCAGCCGCGGUAA
This 459-nucleotide ribosomal RNA is filed under the name uncultured bacterium. Its description in RNAcentral is "bacterial SSU rRNA". It matches the Rfam family "Bacterial small subunit ribosomal RNA", at positions 29 to 523 of the family's 1533-position model. The record is from RNAcentral.